Long non-coding RNA from Dunckerocampus dactyliophorus (ringed pipefish), 527 nucleotides. RefSeq lists it as uncharacterized. Lineage: Eukaryota; Metazoa; Chordata; Actinopteri; Syngnathiformes; Syngnathidae. The transcript has 3 exons. The record is from RefSeq and is a predicted model, not a curated record.
GUUCGGUGUUGCUGUGGACAGAGGACUAGGUCCUAAGUGGAGCGUGGGAAAACAAGGGUCAGAGGACACUACCCAUUCCCAGAGACCCACGGUGGUCCGUCAGCCCCACUGAAGCUCCCAGGCCGGCCCCUAGCGAGAGGAAGAGAUCAGCGAAGGCUGCUUCCAAGUCCUCUAAUUGACAUAUGCGAAGAUCCACACACUCACCAAGCUCCUCCUGGACACACAGCAUAAACAUCAUCAUGUCAACACUUUAUCACAAUGUAAUCAUUUGACAUCCUGAUGAUCCCCAAGACCUUUGGGAAAAUACUCUCUGGUCUGAUGAGACAAAAGGAAGGACCUGGAUGACUUGCUGUGAUAAAUGGAACCAUGAAUUCUGCUGUCUAUCAAAAAAUCCUGAAGGAGAAUGUCCGGCCAUCUGUUCGUGACCUCAAGCUGAAACGAACUGGGGUUCUGCAGCAAACCACAGCAGCAAAGUCCACCUCUGAAUGGCUGAAGAAAAACAAAAUUAACACUUUGGAGUGGCCUAG